CCUACGGGAGGCAGCAGUGGGGAAUAUUGGGCAAUGGAGGAAACUCUGACCCAGCGACGCCGCGUGCGGGAUGAAGGCCUUCGGGUUGUAAACCGCUUUCAGUAGGGAAGAAGCGAAAGUGACGGUACCUACAAAAGAAGCACCGGCUAACUAUGUGCCAGCAGCCGCGGUAAUACAUAGGGUGCAAGCGUUGUCCGGAAUUAUUGGGCGUAAAGAGCUCGUAGGUCGUUUGUUACGUCGGAUGUGAAAACCUGAGGCUCAACCUCAGGCCUGCAUUCGAUACGGGCAAACUAGAGUUUGGUAGGGGAGACUGGAAUUCCUGGUGUAGCGGUGGAAUGCGCAGAUAUCAGGAGGAACACCAAUGGCGAAGGCAGGUCUCUGGGCCAAUACUGACACUGAGGAGCGAAAGUCUGGGGAGCGAACAGGAUUAGAUACCCUGGUAGUCCAGACCGUAAACGGUGGGCACUAGUUGUGGGAACCUUCCACGGUUUCUGCGACGCAGCUAACGCAUUAAGUGCCCGCCUGGGGAGUACGGAUCGCAAGAUUAAACUCAAAUGAAUUGACCGGNAGACACGAGACGACACGAGGAGAG
RNAcentral lists this ribosomal RNA (592 nucleotides) under uncultured bacterium. Its description in RNAcentral is "bacterial SSU rRNA". It matches the Rfam family "Bacterial small subunit ribosomal RNA", at positions 338 to 946 of the family's 1533-position model. The record is from RNAcentral.